RNAcentral lists this ribosomal RNA (271 nucleotides) under uncultured bacterium. RNAcentral's name for it is "partial 16S ribosomal RNA". It matches the Rfam family "Bacterial small subunit ribosomal RNA", at positions 524 to 794 of the family's 1533-position model. The record is from RNAcentral.
UACAGAGGGUGCAAGCGUUAAUCGGAAUUACUGGGCGUAAAGCGCGCGUAGGUGGUUUGUUAAGUUGGAUGUGAAAUCCCCGGGCUCAACCUGGGAACUGCAUUCAAAACUGACAAGCUAGAGUAUGGUAGAGGGUGGUGGAAUUUCCUGUGUAGCGGUGAAAUGCGUAGAUAUCGGAAAGAACACCAGUGGCGAAAGCGACUUCCUGGACCAAUACUGACACUUAGGUGCGAAAGCGUGGGGAGCAAACAGGAUUAGAAACCCGGGUAGU